Molecule: transfer RNA, 72 nt
Filed under: Trichonephila inaurata madagascariensis
Lineage: Eukaryota; Metazoa; Arthropoda; Arachnida; Araneae; Nephilidae
Rfam family: tRNA
About the family: Transfer RNA (tRNA) molecules are approximately 80 nucleotides in length. Their secondary structure includes four short double-helical elements and three loops (D, anti-codon, and T loops).
Source: Rfam by way of RNAcentral
UCCUCGGUAGUAUAGUGGUCAGUAUCCCCGCCUGGAACGCGGGGAGACCGGGGUUCAUUUCCUCCUGAGGGG